ACACAUGCAAGUCGAACGAUGAAGCCUUUCGGGGCUGGAUUAGUGGCGAACGGGUGAGUAACACGUGGGCAAUCUGCCCUUCACUCUGGGACAAGCCCUGGAAACGGGGUCUAAUACCGGAUAACACUCUGUCCCGCAUGGGACGGGGUUAAAAGCUCCGGCGGUGAAGGAUGAGCCCGCGGCCUAUCAGCUUGUUGGUGGGGUGAUGGCCUACCAAGGCGACGACGGGUAGCCGGCCUGAGAGGGCGACCGGCCACACUGGGACUGAAACACGGCCCAGACUCCUACGGGAGGCAGCAGUGGGGAAUAUUGCACAAUGGGCGAAAGCCUGAUGCACCGACGCCGCGUGAGGGAUGACGGCCUUCGGGUUGUAAACCUCUUUCAGCAGGGAACAAGCGAAAGUGACGGUACCUGCACAAGAAGCGCCGGCUAACUACGUGCCAGCAGCCGCGGUAAUACGUAUGGCGCAAGCGUUGUCCGGAAUUAUUUGGGCGUAAAGAGCUCGUAGGCGGCUUGUCACGUCGGAUGUGAAAGCCCGGGGCUUAACCCCGGGUCUGCAUUCGAUACGGGCUAGCUAGAGUGUGGUAGGGGAGAUCGGAAUUCCUGGUGUAGCGGUGAAAUGCGCAGAUAUCAGGAGGAACACCGGUGGCGAAGGCGGAUCUCUGGGCCAUUACUGACGCUGAGGAGCGAAAGCGUGGGGAGCGAACAGGAUUAGAUACCCUGGUAGUCCACGCCGUAAACGUUGGGAACUAGGUGUUGGCGACAUUCCACGUCGUCGGUGCCGCAGCUAACGCAUUAAGUUCCCCGCCUGGGGAGUACGGCCGCAAGGCUAAAACUCAAAGGAAUUGACGGGGGCCCGCACAAGCAGCGGAGCAUGUGGCUUAAUUCGACGCAACGCGAAGAACCUUACCAAGGCUUGACAUAUACCGGAAAGCAUCAGAGAUGGUGCCCCCCUUGUGGUCGGUAUACAGGUGGUGCAUGGCUGUCGUCAGCUCGUGUCGUGAGAUGUUGGGUUAAGUCCCGCAACGAGCGCAACCCUUGUUUCUGUGUUGCCAGCAUGCCCUUCGGGGUGAUGGGGACUCACAGGAGACUGCCGGGGUCAACUCGGAGGAAGGUGGGGACGACGUCAACUCAUCAUACCCCUUAUGUCUUUUUUAUGCACACCUCUUACAAUAACCGCUACAAUUAGAUGAGAAAUAGACAAGAACCGAGCGAAAUGUCGAAAAAUCCGUUCUCAUUUCCGAUUGGGGUCUUCAACUCGACCCCAUGAAAUCGAAGUUAAUAGUAAUCACAGAUCAAGCAUUCUCUUCGCUUAAUACGUUCCCGGCCCUUAUACACACCGCCCAUCACUUCACGAAAGUCUGUAACACCCGAAACCUCUGUCCCAACCUCCUUGUGGGAGAGAGCU
This 1408-nucleotide ribosomal RNA is filed under the name Streptomyces sp. KAL238F55. RNAcentral describes it as "16S ribosomal RNA". It matches the Rfam family "Bacterial small subunit ribosomal RNA". The record is from RNAcentral. Lineage: Bacteria; Bacillati; Actinomycetota; Actinomycetes; Kitasatosporales; Streptomycetaceae.